GCCCCGGUAGCUCAGCUGGUCAGAGCGGUCGCCUUGUAAGCGACAGGUCGGGGGUUCGAAAGUUCACAACAAAAAGCUUUAUAUCAAAUUUAGACACGAAACUCCCUCCCGGGGCUCCA
RNAcentral lists this transfer RNA (119 nucleotides) under Nanobdellota archaeon. RNAcentral describes it as "tRNA-Thr". It matches the Rfam family "tRNA". Rfam says of the family: Transfer RNA (tRNA) molecules are approximately 80 nucleotides in length. Lineage: Archaea; Nanobdellati; Nanobdellota. The record is from RNAcentral.